UUGUUGGUAAGGUAAAAGCUUACCAAGGCUUCGAUCAGUAGCUGGUCUGAGAGGACGACCAGCCACACUGGGACUGAGACACGGCCCAGACUCCUACGGGAGGCAGCAGUGGGGAAUUUUGGACAAUGGGGGCAACCCUGAUCCAGCCAUGCCGCGUGAGUGAAGAAGGCCUUCGGGUUGUAAAGCUCUUUCAGCCGGAACGAAACGGUUACGGUUAACACCCGUGACUACUGACGGUACCGGAAGAAGAAGCACCGGCUAACUACGUGCCAGCAGCCGCGGUAAUACGUAGGGUGCGAGCGUUAAUCGGAAUUACUGGGCGUAAAGCGUGCGCAGGCGGUUUUGUAAGUCAGAUGUGAAAGCCCCGGGCUCAACCUGGGAACUGCGUUUGAAACUACAAGACUAGAGUGUGGCAGAGGGGGGUGGAAUUCCGCGUGUAGCAGUGAAAUGCGUAGAGAUGUGGAGGAACACCGAUGGCGAAGGCAGCCCCCUGGGUCAACACUGACGCUCAGGCACGAAAGCAUGGGGAGCAAACAGGAUUAGAUACCCUGGUAGUCCAUGCCCUAAACGAUGUCAACUAGUUGUCGGGCCUUUACGGGCUUGGUAACGUAGCUAACGCGUGAAGUUGACCGCCUGGGGAGUACGAUCGCAAGAUUAAAACUCAAAUGAAUUGACGGGGACCCGCACAAGCGGUGGAUUAUGUGGAUUAAUUCGAUGCAACGCGAAAAACCUUACCUACCCUUGACAUGUAUCGAAGCCCGCAGAAAAGCGGGGGUGCCCGAAAGGGAACGAUAACACAGGUGCUGCAUGGCUGUCGUCAGCUCGUGUCGUGAGAUGUUGGGUUAAGUCCCGCAACGAGCGCAACCCUUGUCAUUAAUUGCCAUCAUUUAGUUGGGCACUUUAAUGAGACUGCCGG
This 916-nucleotide ribosomal RNA is filed under the name uncultured bacterium. Its description in RNAcentral is "bacterial SSU rRNA". It matches the Rfam family "Bacterial small subunit ribosomal RNA", at positions 246 to 1155 of the family's 1533-position model. The record is from RNAcentral.